RNAcentral lists this ribosomal RNA (253 nucleotides) under uncultured bacterium. Its description in RNAcentral is "partial 16S ribosomal RNA". It matches the Rfam family "Bacterial small subunit ribosomal RNA", at positions 524 to 776 of the family's 1533-position model. The record is from RNAcentral.
UACGAAGGGGGCUAGCGUUGCUCGGAAUCACUGGGCGUAAAGCGCACGUAGGCGGCUUUCUAAGUCAGGGGUGAAAUCCUGGAGCUCAACUCCAGAACUGCCUUUGAUACUGGAGAGCUUGAGUCCGGGAGAGGUGAGUGGAACUGCGAGUGUAGAGGUGAAAUUCGUAGAUAUUCGCAAGAACACCAGUGGCGAAGGCGGCUCACUGGCCCGGAACUGACGCUGAGGUGCGAAAGCGUGGGGAGCAAACAGG